AAUUAAUAAAAAACAAAUAAACACAAAAUUUAGGAGAAAUAAUUUUUGAAAAAAAUAAUAAUAUUAAUUUAGAAAAAAAUAGCUGGAAACAAACCUAGAAAUAUUAUAACAAGAAACACUAAAUUAUUGGUAACAAAUCAAUAAUUAAAUUUAAAAACAAAUAAAUCAAAAACAAAACCGAACAAAAAUUAAAAAAAAAUCGAAUUAUAUAAAUAAUAAAAUUUUCCAAAAUAAAAACAUAAAAAUAAGGAAACAAAGUCUUCAAAAAUAAAGGAAACAAACUAACCGAAAAUAAAGGAAAAAAAUGGCCGAAAAAACACUAAAGAUGUUGGCCGAAAAAAACUAAUGAUACUGGCCGAAAAAAAUGAAAUAAUAUGGCAGAAAAAAAAAGAAAGAAAAGGGAUGGAAUAAAUCAAGGAUAAAUCAGUAAAUAUACUAAAUCCAUAAAACCGGCCCACACUCUUAAGCAGGUAAAAAACCGAUUUUUUACCUGGUGUAACGUACACCUGGUGUUCAAAUAUCACUACUCU
This 530-nucleotide long non-coding RNA is filed under the name Salvia miltiorrhiza (redroot sage). Its description in RNAcentral is "long non-coding RNA (SMIL_LNC002036)". The record is from RNAcentral. Lineage: Eukaryota; Viridiplantae; Streptophyta; Magnoliopsida; Lamiales; Lamiaceae.